AUCCAGCUGAUGAGUCCAAGGUAAGACGAAACGGGCGUCCUGAAU
Molecule: non-coding RNA, 45 nt
Organism: Schistosoma mattheei
Lineage: Eukaryota; Metazoa; Platyhelminthes; Trematoda; Strigeidida; Schistosomatidae
Source: Rfam